This 5186-nucleotide long non-coding RNA is filed under the name Homo sapiens (human). RNAcentral's name for it is "HSALNT0262826". Lineage: Eukaryota; Metazoa; Chordata; Mammalia; Primates; Hominidae. The record is from RNAcentral.
CGAGUAGCUGGGAUUACAAACAUGCGCCACCACGCCCAGCUAAUUUUUGUAUUUUUUAGUAGAGACGGGGGUUUCUCCAUUUUGGUCAGGCUGGUCUCGAACUCCCGACCUCAGGUGAUCCGCCCACCUCAGCCUCCCAAAGUGCUGGGAUUACAGGCGUGAGCCACCGUGCCCGGCUUACGUCAUUUAUUUAAUUUUGAAAGUGCAUGGAGUGUCCUGUUUACUAAACGAUGUGCUUAAACAUCUCACAAACUUCCUGCGAGUUGACGCGUUGGUUCCUGUCCUCCAGUAGAAGCUGGCUCCAGCACACCCCUGCUGACAGCACUCUACAGUUUCCAUCUGAAUUCUGCUGCUCGCGGAAGAGUCAGGGAUGGAAUGCAGGGGCUGCAAGAGGAGGAGGGGAAGGAAGGACCGUCUUGAGGUUUGGGCAGCUCUGCUGAAAACAGGAGUGAAGAUUUGGGUAAGCUUGAUGUGCAAACACCUCUCUGACACGAUGUCAUAAGGAGCAUGUGUUGCCACUAUCCCAAGCGUUUCCACACGCACGGAUUCAUUUCCUUUUUCCAGCCGCCCUGUGGGGUGGGACGCGUGGCGUCAUUGUCUGCAUCAGAAGUGGAAAGAGACUCAGAGAAGUGAGGCGGCUCGUCUGGGGUCACGUGGGAGGAAGCAAUGCGCAAGGACCCUGCGGGAAGGCUUUCCCCCCUCUUUGCACGUGGGUCUUAUUAUUAUUAAUGUUAUUUUUAGUUUAUGAUUUGUUGUAUGAUUUUUAAUUUCAUGAUAUUUAUUUUUUAUUUUAUGGUAUGUGCCUAUGAACACCCACCUAGGACAUGUAGGGAAUAGGAGGUAGCGUGUACUAUCAGCAUUUAAAACACUGGAAAUGGGUCUAGAAGAAGGUUGGCAUAUUCUGCAGUCCAGCAUCCUGGCUGGACGCCGAGCUCCGGAGCCACGGACCGUGGCCUCAAACUCAGCCGAGGUGUUGCCUGUGUUCCUAAGCCAUCCAUUUCGCCAUUACCUUCUUACAAUUUCUGGAAACUUCCCCGCUGGCCUCCCAGAAUGCACACACAGUAACUCUAAGAAUAAAACGAGCACAUCCACGUGGCUCAAACAGCGGCUGGGCACUCAGUCAAUGCCGAAACCACUUAGUGCUGAGGUUUUAAAGUCUUACUUUCACUAAUACAUUUCUAUUGGCAGAGAACAAACAAGAUCCCCAUUCUCCUGGCAUCCGUACGAGCUGGUCACAGAGCAUUUUGCUUUGCAACAAAAGACGUUCUUGUUUCAGUCCAGACACACUUGGGACAGGUAAUGCUUUGAAAGGUACUUAUUGCUUUUUUCAACAAACGUUUAUUAAGUACCUACUUGUGCCAAGCUGAAGUUUUGAGUCCCCACCCUCCAAGUCUGGUUUUGGGGACUUCCUCUUUUCAUUCCUCAACCCCCUCGCCUUCCGCACCCUGCUGCGGUUUCCCUGGUGACAGCCCGAGCCCGCCUCAGUGGUCCCACCAGGUAGGUGCUCCCUAGGGGAGGACAGGGUGGACGGAUGGCAGAGGAGGAUUGAGAGGCCAGGCCUGCUGUGCCUCAGCCGGGGACACAGGUGCCUCUUCCGGGCACACUAAAGCACGUCCUGAGCCAAGGUCUGCAGAACUACAGUUGCGCACGCCUCUGCAAACGGUUGGCGGUCACAGUGCCCUCUGAGUGGUACUGAAAUCAGUAUUAUCUGCUCUCUCCACCCGCCCACUCCAUGUAUUGCUGGAGUCCUUGCCUUCUGCCAGGAACGGUUCAAGGUACGCAGAACGCAAUGAUCGUCAAACGCAAGCCAGCUCUGUCCUUGUUAUGGGCUGAAUCGUGUCCUACUCCCUCAAAAGAAAUCCAUAUGUUGAAGCCCUGACCCUCAGUAUCUCAGGAUGAGAUUGUAUUUGGGGCUGGAUUUUUAAAGAGGUGAUUACCUUAAAAUGAGGAUUUAAGUGUGGGCCCUCUUUCAACGGGUGUGUGUCCUUAUAAGAAGAGGAGAUUAGGACACAGACACACACAGAGGGACGACCCCGUGCACGAGCCAAGGAGGCCUCAGGGGAAACCAACACUGCUACACCUUGACCUUGAACUUCCAGCCUCCAGAACUCUGAGAAAACAAAUCCGUGCUGUUGAAGCCUCUCAGCAUGCAGUGCUUUGCUAUGUCAGCCCCUGGAAAAUUCAUACAGCCCAUGUUCCCAUGGGAGUCUUGUGGGACAGAGAUCUUGAUUAAAGAAAAAAAAAAGGGCUGGGUGCAGUGGCUCAUGCCUGUAAUCCCAGCACUUGGGAGGCCGAGGCCAGCAGAUCACUUGAGGUUGGUGGAUCACCUGAGGUCGGGAGUUCGAGACCAGCCUGACCAACAUGGAGAAACCCCUAUCUCUACUAAAAAAAUACAAAAUGAGCCGGGCGUGGUGGUGCAUGCCUGUAAUCCCAGCUACUCGGGAGGCUGAGGCAGGAGAAUCCCUUGAACCUGGGAGGCAGAGGUUGCAGUGAGCCGAGAUCAUGCCACUGCACUCCAGCUGGGGCAACAAGAGAGAAACUCCAUCUCAAAAAAAAAAAAAAAUCUCUAGUACAGUCAGUAAACACACAUAGCGCCUACCGGGCUCCAAACAAUCGCUCCAGCUCCAGUCCCCGACCCUCCCCACGUAACCCUGCUCCCCAGAGGCACCAGCCUUCGCCCAGUCCUUUGGAUGUGCACGCUCGUUCCCACCUCUGAACCUUGGCAGUUUGCCGUUUCCCUCCCCUGUCUCGCUCUCUCUGGAUUUUCCCAGGCCUGGAUUCUUCCUGAUAGGUCAUUCUUGAUAGUCAAAGGUUUGCUGAAAUGUCACCUUCUUAGAGAAAUUCUCCCCACCUCUCCCACAACCACUAUCAUGUCAGCUUGCUUUACAUGUCAAAUGGUGUGUAGUGAGUGACUGCUAUUAGCAAUGACUCUGAUUGAUUUUUGUUCUGGUCGGCUUCUCAUCUGCUGGAAUAGAAGCCCCAUGAGGGCAGGAAUACGUGUCUUUACCCACGUAUUCCCAGUGCCUAGCAAGGUAAAUAUCAAUGGCAUGAAUGAAUGAAUGAAUGAAGAGCUUCUCAGAGCACUCUGAGUCUCUGUUGUCACAGGUAGGUCUCUGAAUUCUACUAAGCUCAUUGCAGGGGAAAUUCAGAGCUUUCUUGAAUCAGGGAGGACUUGGACCACCUCCUUCUCACGCCCCUCUACACACUCACCUGGGCAGGGCAGGUGUGGGCCGGGGUUCCCUCCCUGUGGUCAGGUUGGACUGUACCACCUCUGGGUGUCCUGAGAAUUCCUCCCCACUCUCUUUUGGCCACAUAGCAGCAGGAAACCUCUGUUGGGGAAGGAGCGGUGUGGUUUCUGCUCAUAGUUCCAGGGUUCAGUGGGUAGGGGUGGGGGUUGAUGGGGACAUGUCUAGCCUGAAUCUUUCCUGCUCCAUCCUACGGGAGGGCCUGAGAUCUUCAAUGCGAUGCAAAGGAACAAUGCAGACAGGGAGAGGAGCAGAUGGGGCAGGGGAGGGAUACAGCCCAGCAGGGUCUUCCAACUUGUACAGGAAGCUUAUAAACUGAGGUGGUAUUUUUUUGUUUUUUUGUUUUUUUGACAUGGAGUCUCGCUGUCAUCCAGGUUGAAGUGCAGAGGCAUGAUCUCAGUUCACCACAACCUCCACCUUCUGGGUUCAAGCAAUUCUCCUGCCUCAAACUCCCCAGUAGAUGGGAUUACAGGCACGCACUACCACACCCGGCUCAUUUUUGUAUUUUUAGUAGAGACGGGGUUUCAACGUGUUGGUCAGGCUGGUCUCGAACUCCUGACCUAAAGUGACCUGCCCGCCUUGGCCUCCCAAAGUGCUAGGAUUACAGGCGUGAGCCACUGUGCCCAUCCUGAUGUAGUAUUUUUAGUCCGAGAAAAACACAAUUUUCUAGCAUAAAUUUUCUUUUAAUCUUGAACAAUUGCUCAUAAAGACACAUCCUGAGGGCACACUGACCUCCAGAUUCAUCCAAUGUCUCCAUGGCUGUAAAUCUUGACAUUUUCAACUAAAAACAAGCAAACCUGAUUUUUCCUAAGUGUUUCCAGCUAAAAGAUGUCAAUUGCUACAAUUUAGUUUCCAGAUGAUCUGUCAUUUUGAACAAACUUUAAACUUUAAUAUUGCACUACAUUCUUAAAUGAAACAAAAAAACUGCACAAAUCUUUGCUUGUCACAGCCAUCUAUCAUUUUAUGAAACUGAUGCCUGUCCUUCAUUACUCUGAGGUUAAAAGCUUUUGUUCAGCUUGCCUGAGGUUUGAAAAAGAACUGUACUAGCUUUGCUUACCAUACUUCCUACUUUUCAUAAUAUAUAGUAUUAGACUGUAUUUGAACUGAUUACGAGGGGUAUUUUGUGUUUAUCCAAAUGUAAGGAUCAUUUCUUGUAGUAAUGGGCAAGAUGCCUAUUGCAGAAUGCAUAAGGUUUUUACCACAGUCUAAAAUCAUAAAAGUAAAAAUAUAUUGAUUACAAGUUUUCAGAUUUUUUUCCAGGUUACUCGGAUUUGAUUCAUGGCAAAUACUCUUUAUUUUUGUUUUUUUAAACAGGCUCAUUCCCAAGUAUAUAAAUUGUCAAUGGUGGGAAAAUAUAAAGAAAUUUCUUUUAUGUAAAAAAAAAAAACCAUGAUAAAAAGAGAAUCAGCACUCUGUGUUCAAAAAUUAUUUAUGAUAUUUGUUACAGAUUUAUCUCUCUAAUUAUCAUAAUUGGGUUGCCACUUAAGACAAUCUUUGUUUUAAAAAUGUUGUGUAUUGUUAAAAUGUUAUUACCCUGUGCAAGAAAAUUGUUUGAUCUAUUUAUACCUUCUCUUGUGGUAAAAUUAUUCUUAAAUUGUUGUAUUCCUAUACUCUGAAGACAUUUAAAAUAAGUUUUCGUGCCUGUGUAAGUAGACUCUUCAGAAAUUAAUUGAAGAAUUUGUUGUUUCUUUUGACAAAAUACUUAUGUAAAUAUUGGUAGUAUAAAAAUUUUGCAUACCUUUAAGCAUCAACUCUAUGCAUCCAUGUUGGCAAUGGGCAGUAAACUAUGCAAUCUCACAAAAAGUAUUUGUUGUUUAUCUGAAAUUCGAAUUUUACUGGGCAGCCUGAAUUUUUAUUUGCUCAAUCUGGUGACUUUAAAAAGUGGCAAGAACAGUAUUAAUAAUAGUGGCAAGUGUUUCUUAAAUGCUUGCUAAGUACCAG